UCUUGUUCAUUCACUGAAACCGACACUAUGCUCCGACAGAACAACAUAAAUCAGCCGGUUUUAGACAAAAAACACACUUCUAUCUCCACCCUAGAGUCUGUUAUUUGUUUUGAAACAAUCCACAGCUUCCGGUUCUUCUGGUCCAAUCAGAGCAGGGCUGUGUGAGAUUUGACUGUCAAUCACAGUC
This is a long non-coding RNA of Alosa sapidissima (American shad), 187 nucleotides long. RefSeq lists it as uncharacterized. Lineage: Eukaryota; Metazoa; Chordata; Actinopteri; Clupeiformes; Clupeidae. The transcript has 3 exons. The record is from RefSeq and is a predicted model, not a curated record.